UCAGAUGGUAAAGAAUCUGCCUGCAAUGCAGGAGACCCAGGUUCAAUUCCUGG
RNAcentral lists this transfer RNA (53 nucleotides) under Muntiacus reevesi (Reeves' muntjac). It matches the Rfam family "tRNA", at positions 12 to 63 of the family's 71-position model. From Rfam's summary of the family: Transfer RNA (tRNA) molecules are approximately 80 nucleotides in length. Their secondary structure includes four short double-helical elements and three loops (D, anti-codon, and T loops). The record is from Rfam by way of RNAcentral. Lineage: Eukaryota; Metazoa; Chordata; Mammalia; Artiodactyla; Cervidae. RNAcentral also lists the same sequence under 2 other names.